RNAcentral lists this ribosomal RNA (198 nucleotides) under uncultured bacterium. Its description in RNAcentral is "partial 16S ribosomal RNA". It matches the Rfam family "Bacterial small subunit ribosomal RNA", at positions 328 to 539 of the family's 1533-position model. The record is from RNAcentral.
ACGCUCGACACCUACGGGAGGCAGCAGUUGGGAAUAUUGGACAAUGGAGGAAACUCUGAUCCAGUGACGCCGCGUGAAGGAAGAAGGUCUUCGGUAUUGUAAACUUAUUUGUCAGGGAAGAAAAAUGACUGUACCUGAAGAAAAGCACCGGCUAACUACGUGCCAGUAGCCGCGGUAAUCUGAGCGGGCUGGCAAGGC